GAUGAACGCUGGCGGCGUGCCUAAUACAUGCAAGUCGAGCGAACGGACGAGAAGCUUGCUUCUCUGAUGUUAGCGGCGGACGGGUGAGUAACACGUGGAUAACCUACCUAUAAGACUGGGAUAACUUCGGGAAACCGGAGCUAUACCGGAUAAUAUUUUGAACCGCAUGGUUCAAAAGUGAAAGACGGUCUUGCUGUCACUUAUAGAUGGAUCCGCGCUGCAUUAGCUAGUUGGUAAGGUAACGGCUUACCAAGGCAACGAUGCAUAGCCGACCUGAGAGGGUGAUAGGCCACACGGGAACUGAGACACGGUCCAGACUCCUACGGAAGGCAGCAGUAGGGAAUGUUCCGCAAUGGGCGAAAGCCUGACGGAGCAACGCCGCGUGAGUGAUGAAGGUCUUCGGAUCGUAAAACUCUGUUAUUAGGGAAGAACAUAUGUGUAAGUAACUGUGCACAUCUUGACGGUACCUAAUCAGAAAGCCACGGCUAACUACGUG
Molecule: ribosomal RNA, 496 nt
Filed under: uncultured bacterium
Lineage: Bacteria
Description: partial 16S ribosomal RNA
Rfam family: Bacterial small subunit ribosomal RNA
Source: RNAcentral